Molecule: ribosomal RNA, 263 nt
Filed under: Escherichia coli
Lineage: Bacteria; Pseudomonadati; Pseudomonadota; Gammaproteobacteria; Enterobacterales; Enterobacteriaceae
Also listed under: 1 other name
Description: partial 16S ribosomal RNA
Rfam family: Bacterial small subunit ribosomal RNA
Source: RNAcentral
AAAUUGAAGAGUUUGAUCAUGGCUCAGAUUGAACGCUGGCGGCAGGCCUAACACAUGCAAGUCGAACGGUAACAGGAAGCAGCUUGCUGCUUCGCUGACGAGUGGCGGACGGGUGAGUAAUGUCUGGGAAACUGCCUGAUGGAGGGGGAUAACUACUGGAAACGGUAGCUAAUACCGCAUAACGUCGCAAGACCAAAGAGGGGGACCUUCGGGCCUCUUGCCAUCGGAUGUGCCCAGAUGGGAUUAGCUAGUAGGUGGGGUAA